Molecule: ribosomal RNA, 468 nt
Filed under: uncultured bacterium
Lineage: Bacteria
Description: partial 16S ribosomal RNA
Rfam family: Bacterial small subunit ribosomal RNA
Source: RNAcentral
GACGAACGCUGGCGGCGUGCUUAACACAUGCAAGUCGAACGGAAAGGCCCUGCUUUUGUGGGGUGCUCGAUUGGCGAACGGGUGAGUAACACGUGAGUAACCUGCCCUUGACUUUGGGAUAACUUCAGGAAACUGGGGCUAAUACCGGAUAGGAGCUCCUGCUGCAUGGUGGGGGUUGGAAAGUUUCGGCGGUUGGGGAUGGACUCGCGGCUUAUCAGCUUGUUGGUGGGGUAGUGGCUUACCAAGGCUUUGACGGGUAGCCGGCCUGAGAGGGUGACCGGCCACAUUGGGACUGAGAGAGGGACCAGAAGACAACGGGAGGCAGCAGUGGGGAAUAUUGCACAAUGGGCGGAAGCCUGAUGAAGCAACGCCGCGUGCGGGAUGAAGGGCUUCGGGUUGUAAACCGAUUUAGCAUGUGACGAAGAGUGAGUGACGGUAAUGGGUAAAGAAGCACCGGCUAACUACGUG